This 253-nucleotide ribosomal RNA is filed under the name uncultured bacterium. RNAcentral's name for it is "partial 16S ribosomal RNA". It matches the Rfam family "Bacterial small subunit ribosomal RNA", at positions 524 to 776 of the family's 1533-position model. The record is from RNAcentral.
UACGUAGGGUGCGAGCGUUAAUCGGAAUUACUGGGCGUAAAGCGUGCGCAGGCGGUUCGUUAAGUCAGAUGUGAAAGCCCCGGGCUCAACCGGGGAACUGCAUUUGAAACUGGCGGGCUUGAGUGUGGCAGAGGGGGGUGGAAUUCCGAGUGUAGCAGUGAAAUGCGUAGAGAUGCGGAGGAACACCGAUGGCGAAGGCAGCUCCCUGGGCCAACACUGACGCUCAGGCACGAAAGCGUGGGGAGCAAACAGG